CCCUAUCAACUUUCGAUGGUAAGGUAUUGGCUUACCAUGGUUUCAACGGGUAACGGGGAAUUAGGGUUCGAUUCCGGAGAGGGAGCCUGAGAAACGGCUACCACAUCCAAGGAAGGCAGCAGGCGCGCAAAUUACCCAAUCCCGACACGGGGAGGUAGUGACAAUAAAUACUGAUACAGGGCUCUUUUGGGUCUUGUAAUCGGAAUGAGUACAAUUUAAACCUCUUAACGAGGAACAAUUGGAGGGCAAGUCUGGUGCCAGCAGCCGCGGUAAUUCCAGCUCCAAUAGCGUAUAUUAAAGUUGUUGCAGUUAAAAAGCUCGUAGUUGAAUCUUGGGCCUGGCUGGCCGGUCCGCCUCACCGCGUGUACUGGUCUGGCCGGGCCUUUCCUUCUGGAGAACCUCAUGCCCUUCAGUGGGUGUGUUGGGGAACCAGGACUUUUACUUUGAAAAAAUUAGAGUGUUCAAAGCAGGCCUUUGCUCGAAUACGUUAGCAUGGAAUAAUAGAAUAGGACGUGCGGUCCUAUUUUGUUGGUUUCUAGGACCGCCGUAAUGAUUAAUAGGGAUAGUCGGGGGCAUCAGUAUUCAAUUGUCAGAGGUGAAAUUCUUGGAUUUAUUGAAGACUAACUACUGCGAAAGCAUUUGCCAAGGAUGUUUUCAUUAAUCAGUGAACGAAAGUUAGGGGAUCGAAGACGAUCAGAUACCGUCGUAGUCUUAACCGUAAACUAUGCCGACUAGGGAUCGGGCGAUGUUUCUAUCUUGACUCGCUCGGCACCUUACGAGAAAUCAAAGUUUUUGGC
Molecule: ribosomal RNA, 797 nt
Filed under: Lophiostoma clematidicola
Lineage: Eukaryota; Fungi; Ascomycota; Dothideomycetes; Pleosporales; Lophiostomataceae
Description: SSU rRNA
Rfam family: Eukaryotic small subunit ribosomal RNA
Source: RNAcentral